GUUUCAAUUCCUCAUAGGCAGGCUAUCGGCUGGGUAUCCUUGGGGCUCUUGCUGCUUGGCGGGUUACGG
RNAcentral lists this small RNA (69 nucleotides) under Acididesulfobacillus acetoxydans. RNAcentral describes it as "Peptococcaceae bacterium INE non-coding RNA". Lineage: Bacteria; Bacillati; Bacillota; Clostridia; Eubacteriales; Peptococcaceae. The record is from RNAcentral.